CCUACGGGCGGCUGCAGUGGGGAAUUUUGGACAAUGGGGGCAACCCUGAUCCAGCCAUUCCGCGUGAGUGAAGAAGGCCUUCGGGUUGUAAAGCUCUUUUGUCCGGAGCGAAACGGGCGGCCCUAAUACGGUCGUCUACUGACGGUACCGGAAGAAUAAGCACCGGCUAACUACGUGCCAGCAGCCGCGGUAAUACGUAGGGUGCUUACUGUAAUCGGAGUUACUGGGCGUAGUGCGGGCGCCCGCGGGUGAAAGCCCCGGGCUCAACCUGGGAAGGGCAUUUGGGACUGCAAGUCUGGAGUGUGGCAGAGGGGACUAGAAUUCCUGGUGUAGCAGUGAAAUGCGUAGAGAUCAGGAGGAAUACCGAUGGCGAAGGCAGGUCCCUGGGUUAACACUGACGCUCAUGCACGAAAGCGUGGGGAGCAAACAGGAUUAGAUACCCGAGUAGUC
RNAcentral lists this ribosomal RNA (450 nucleotides) under uncultured bacterium. Its description in RNAcentral is "partial 16S ribosomal RNA". It matches the Rfam family "Bacterial small subunit ribosomal RNA", at positions 338 to 795 of the family's 1533-position model. The record is from RNAcentral.